Equus caballus (horse) is the source of this 4646-nucleotide long non-coding RNA. RefSeq lists it as uncharacterized. NCBI's taxonomy places the organism in Eukaryota, Metazoa, Chordata, Mammalia, Perissodactyla, Equidae. The record is from RefSeq and is a predicted model, not a curated record.
CGACACUUGUGCACAGUAAAGUUGGACUUGCUAACACCAACCCAAGUCUCACGUCCUCUUUAUUUUCCCCUCCCCCGUUUUUCGCCAACGCCGUCUCUCCUGCGGGAACCUGGACUCUGCUGAGGCUGGACCCCGGCAUCCAAGUCACUCACAACCAGCGUCAGUCUCCUGUGGCCAGUGAAUCAUGACACGAUCACGUGAGUGAGCUAUUUUCCCCAAGAAGUCAAGGUCCAGACAUCAAGAAGAAAGGAGAUUCAGCCUCGCAAAGCCGAAUGUUGGCAGAGGAUGAAAACUAACCAGAAAAGUCCAGAUGGUUGAGGAAAGAAAGAUUCAACCUUCAAGACCAAACACAGGCUGAGGCCAGCCAGCAAGGCUACCUGCUCCCCAUCCCCCACCUACAACGCCAGCCCACAGCCCCCUCCUCUUCCUAAAACCCCAAAUAAAAACCCCUACCUUUUUCCCUUCCAGGAGGUAGAUUGGAGCUUUAACUCCUAUCUCCUCAUCUGGCUCUUUUGAUAAUAAACCUCUUUCCUUGCUAGAAGCCUGAUAUUUCAGUUAUUGGCUUUCCUGCUCAUCGGGUAACAGACCUGUGUUUGCAUUCUGUAACAAUUACAUCUGCAAAGACCUUAUUCCAAAUAAGGUUGUAUUCUGAGGUUCCAGGUAGACAUGAAAUUCGGGGGCAGACUCCUGAACCCAGUGUAUGUGUUUCUAUGUGCUUGUAUAUAUUUUAUAAUUUAGGUAUUGAUGUCCAGUGUUACAUGAAAUAUUUAUCUUACGGUUCUGCUUUAUUAUUCCCAUAUACACAUGCAAUCUCCCUAUCCAUCUUAUCCAUCUCCCUCUCAUCCCCUCACUGUGCUACUUUUCCCAUGUUUGAUGAAAGGUCAAUGAAAUCUACAGGUUGAUGAGGUUCUGCUGAAUGGUGUCAUUUCAUUGUUGGUAAGGCAUGGAGGUAUAUGUCCCAGAAUCCCUGUCUUUAUGAUUCUGGGUUAGAAUUCACCAAUUCCUUAACUCAUGUCACAACUGGAAGGUACACAUGAAGCAGCCAUUACUCUCAGGGUUUGGAGCCACCAUACGGAUGGAGCAAUGCAUAGUGGCUUGACGGGCAACAGCUUCCAGCUUAUUUUUCUGAUCACCGGUCCAGUCAAGUCAAACUAAACACCAAAUUCCCCUUUCCAUUUUCUUAGAGGCCCUGGCCUCCACACAUGUGCUCCUGUUCUCUGCCAUUGUGGAUCAGACUCUAGGGUCAGAGACCCACAGGUCUGGGCUGUGCAAAGCCCCGGUGUGCCCUCCAGGCCCCUGAUGGAGGCUGUCACGGUGGUUGAGCUUGACUGACGCUGACUCCCCUCUGCUCUGGAUCUUGCCUUAUUUGUACCAGAUGUUACUUGUACAGUGAACACCCAUUCCCUUUAUGUUGAGAAGAUCUGGGGUCUAAUUCCACGACAGACACAGCAGUGCAGCCAAAGAAAACAGGGGCUUGUUUCCCUGCUGCACCGUUGAGUGGCUGCACUGCCUGUCCUUCCGCGUGAGAAGUGAGCACCUUCCUCAUGUGUCAGGGACAUGGUGGGAGUGUCCUGAACUCGGGGCUGAGAGCAGGCCCUCAGGAUGUGUUCAGUUAUCAUAUUUAUGUGUGAGUAAAACACUUGUGUACUCAGAAGAUUCCACACGUUUCCCAGGAAAGUCUUCAGUGGUGUUUUCAAAUCAGUUGUAUAUUAACAAAUGUCACUGUGUGCUUUUCCUUGGCUGAGAGAUUAUGUUAAAAUGUCUGCAUUUAUGGGUUGUCCAAUCAGCCUUGCAAUUUUCUCAACUUGAGAAUUCUUAGUAUUCUUAUGCAUUCUUAGUCCACAGUACCACGUGCAUACGAGUUUAGAGAAUUUUUUCUUUCAGGUAAACAUUUACUCCUAUAUACUUUAAACUUCUGUCAUUAAAUUAACUUGUAAUACAAUAAGGAGAGUAAAAUAGUGAUUGGGCCACUGCUCUCUAGCCAAAGACCUCCAGGAUCACACCUGUAGUCACAGAAAGUGGGGUGCACUGACUUAGAGCACUGGGGGUGCACACACCGUGCAGGACUGUGGGAGUGUCAGUAGGAGGGGCAUAUGACACAUGUGACAUGAGGACAUAUUUGGACAAGAAUAUAUCAAACAUUCAGACUUGUGUGAGGUGACUUGAGUAAGUGUUCCAGCAAGAGUUCCUUUGCUCUGAUUCGAUGCUGUCAGGAGGUAAAUGUAACUUUAUGAUUGGAGAUCUUAACAGUUCUUGUCUAGAAAUCAGAAAGGAUGGCGUGUAGCUAACACUAGUUGGUAAAGAGGCAGGGGUCACAAUAGCAAGAAGCGGGAAAAUUUGGUCAAUAGUGUGGUUUGGCUUCUGUUCCAUUGAUUGCAUUUUUGUGGACGUGAUUAUAACCUGCUCUUCCUUUUGUCUUGACACAUUGCAGUCACGGAUUUGCCUCAUCUGACGACGGGGCUGGUGAAAUUGUUUCUGCUCAACGUAAGUCCCAGCCCAGCAGUGUCAGGCCAGCUUCCAGAUGUCUGGGGCUGCCUCUGCCUUUCUCACUGACUAUGUGAACGCUGACGUAUUUCUCACUAUGUAUGUGGCACUGUUUUAAGUGUUUUUUGUAAAGUGACUAAGUUAUCAUAUAAAUCUAGCUCCUCCUCAGCAAACUCUGUAAGGCAGACACGUUUAUCUCCUUGGAUGAGUUCACUGAGGCUUUGAUGGAGGUGACUUACCAGAGGCCACAGAUAAGAAGGGACCAACCGAGGAUCAUGACUCAAACGUGGCCUUCCUUUCUCACAGUCCAUCUUCGUCGGGUGCUAAAUGUUGAGCAUCCAUCACAGCUACACACUCGAGGCUCAAAACAGACUCUUAUUCUCUACGCUAAUCUAUGUCCUGCAGGCCCUUGCCCCUGGGUCCUCGUGCUCUCCGCCCCCCACCUGCUUGGUCACGACCAUUUCCUUGAUGCUCCCCUAUCACCCAUUCUUGGGCUGCAGUGACUCUCUAGGACCUGAGUAUGAUAAAAUAUCUCCCUGACCCUCCCUAUACCCCUUGUGACUGGUCAUCCCCUAGAAGCCGACAGGACAGGUGCAGCAUCACAACUCCAAAUAGCAUUCAGUAGGCGUCCCUCCAAACUUCAAAUUCUAUGGGCACUGGAAACGAGAGGACCACAACUUCACAAGGAAAACACUCUCUGGGUAUUUAGAAGGGUAAUUAUUUGUAAAAAUGUUUGGAAUUAGAAUUUCAUGCUUCUGAUAUGAAAAAGCAAAAGUCUCAUGGAAAAUGUCAAGGAUGGGCUCUUUCCACUGGUGGAGAAAACACACAGAGUGGUUGUGACCCACACCUUCCAUGCUGGUACAGGUCAGUGCAGCUAUACCGAGCAUUUUCAGUGUGUUGGGGUCCCCAUAACACUGGUCAUAUUGACUGAUGAGUCGAUGACACCAGAGAGGAGAGUCCAUCCUGACAAGGGUUGGAAUCCCUUAGGUACAGGCUUCCUCUCUGGAAAGGCUGUACAGACACCUUUACUGAUCGUUUCUUCUCUAAGUCCCUGGGGGCCUAGUCACCUUACACAUCCUCUGAGACAUGAACCCCUACAAGGUCCACCCAAAAUAUAAGACAUCCACCAUGGCCAGGGCCAGAGAAGGAUCCCUGGAGGCCAUCUGACACAGAGGUAGAAACUGACCUUUGUCAACAGGGGCAGAGCAACAGAACCAUGAGCGUCAACCAGUGGAAAUAACACAAGGGAACAUCCCUGGGCAGGAGCACCAGCAAUUACUCACUUGUUAUAGGGAGAAACGUCCUAGGGACAAUCAGCACAGUUACUUGUAACAAGACGACAGACAGGGAGAAGAGUUUCCAUUGCAGUAUUGAUUUUCCAUGAAACCACUGAGAGCUCUGUGGAGAACAAACAUUUAGAAGCAGCAUUUCCAGGAAUGAGUAGUUCACUCAAGUUGGUUAUGUCUGUAAACUGGAGCUCCCUCUCCUAACUCAUUCCCACCGCAACUCAGUGCUCACCUCACCAAGAACUCUGGUGGUUCUACUUGUCCACAGAGAACUAGGGAAGAUGUGUGUCCAGUUCUGCCUCCCACACUGCUCAUCUGCAGGAGCCUGAGUCCUGGGGAUCUCUGGCUGGAGACCACUGACAUGUGCAACACUUACAUUUUCAUUAUUAGGAAUGAAUAAGACACUUGAAUGAAAAUGAUGGUAGCAGCAUAGGAAUUAAUGAAAAACAGACCAGAAAGAGAAAUGUGAAAACGUAUAUACAUUGUUAAUAUUAUCCCAAAAUAUACAUAGAAAAAUUGACACAAUUACAAGAAUAAGUUAAUCCUCUAGAAUGGGAUAUUUUAACAUAUACUCUCAGUUAAUGGAACAUAAAACAUCGUAACACUUGUAAGUAUACAAGAGAUUUGAAAAACAAAGUAAUGCGUGCUUCCCAAGAAAAAAUCUAGAGAACUAUAUUUGACCAAAAAAUGUACAUUGUUUUGAAUGACACAAAAAAAUGAAAGAACACUGGGUAAUCACAUAUAAAAGUAGAAAGUAACUAAACAUACUGGUUUUAUCAUGUAGAGAGCACUCAGCUGUAAGAGAAAACUCUCAUAAAGUGCCAGAUACAUUCACAACUGCUGCUUUUAAUCAGGGAAAUAUCCAUAAACAAGAAA